AACGUAGGAUGCGAGCGUUAUCCGGAUUCACUGGGCGUAAAGCGCGUGCAGGCGGUUUGGUAAGGUGGGCGUGAAAGCCCCCGGCUCAACUGGGAGAGGGCGUCCAAAACUACCAGACUAGAGAGCGAUAGAGGAAAAUGGAAUUCCCGGUGUAGUGGUGAAAUGCGUAGAUAUCGGGAGGAACACCAGUGGCGAAGGCGAUUUUCUGGAUCUUUUCUGACGCUCAGACGCGAAAGCUAGGGUAGCAAACGGG
RNAcentral lists this ribosomal RNA (253 nucleotides) under uncultured bacterium. RNAcentral's name for it is "partial 16S ribosomal RNA". It matches the Rfam family "Bacterial small subunit ribosomal RNA", at positions 524 to 776 of the family's 1533-position model. The record is from RNAcentral.